Molecule: ribosomal RNA, 492 nt
Filed under: uncultured bacterium
Lineage: Bacteria
Description: partial 16S ribosomal RNA
Rfam family: Bacterial small subunit ribosomal RNA
Source: RNAcentral
AGUGAACGCUGGCGGUAGGCCUAACACAUGCAAGUCGAACGGCAACACAGUAAGAGCUUGCUCUUACGGGUGGCGAGUGGCGGACGGGUGAGGACUACAUCGGAAUCUACUUUUUCGUGGGGGGUAACGUAGGGAAACUUACGCUAAUACCGCAUACGACCUACGGGUGAAAGCAGGGGAUCUUCGGACCUUGUGCGACUGAAUGAGCCGAUGUCGGAUUAGCUAGUUGGCGGGGUAAAGGCCCACCAAGGCGACGAUCCGUAGCUGGUCCGAGAGGAUGGUCGGCCGCAAUGGAACUGAGACACGGUCCAGACUCCUACGGGAGGCAGCAGUGGGGAAUAUUGGACAAUGGGCGCAAGCCUGAUCCAGCCAUACCGCGUGGGUGAAGAAGGCCUUCGGGUUGUAAAGCCCUUUUGUUGGGAAAGAAAAGCAGCAGGUUAAUACCCCGCUGGUCUGACGGUACCCAAAGAAUAAGCACCGGCUAACUUCGUG